This 253-nucleotide ribosomal RNA is filed under the name uncultured bacterium. RNAcentral describes it as "partial 16S ribosomal RNA". It matches the Rfam family "Bacterial small subunit ribosomal RNA", at positions 524 to 776 of the family's 1533-position model. The record is from RNAcentral.
UACGUAAGGGGCAAGCGUUGUCCGGAAUCAUUGGGCGUAAAGAGCGUGUAAACGGCUCGAUAAGUCCGCUGUGAAAGUCCAAAGCUCAACCCUGGAAGGCCGGUGGAAACUGUCGGGCUAGAGUCCGGAAGGGGCGAGCGGAAUUCCCGGUGUAGCGGUGAAAUGCGCAGAUAUCGGGAGGAACACCAAUGGCGAAGGCAGCUCGCUGAGACGGUACUGACGCUGAGACGCGAAAGCGUGGAGAGCAAACAGG